This 393-nucleotide long non-coding RNA is filed under the name Pan troglodytes (chimpanzee). RNAcentral's name for it is "long non-coding RNA NONPTRT001465". The record is from RNAcentral. Lineage: Eukaryota; Metazoa; Chordata; Mammalia; Primates; Hominidae.
GCCUCUCUGUGCAUCAGGCCUGGGGCACAGCUUGCUGCCUGGACGAGGACAACCUUAAGUACAGCAGCAAGUUCGUCAAGGAAUUCCUGGGCAGACGGUCAAGCAAGGAUCUGCGAGCCCGUGUGGACUUCCACAACAACCUCGUGGGUGUGAAGGCAAGUGGGGUGGGGCUGGCGGGGUGGGAAGGGAGGGUCAGAAAGAGCGUCAGGGGGUUGGGGGUGGGGCGUGGGACUGGGGGCGGGGCUGCAGCAGGGCAGGCAGGCACACAGUGGAGUGGCCUCCUGUAGGAGGGUGGAGGCCGUGCAGCGCCAGUCAUGGUCCUGGAGCCUCUCGUGCCCAUAAGGCUCCCUACCCACCAAACGGGGCACUAGCCAUGGAGAGGUAUCCCAGGUU